RNAcentral lists this ribosomal RNA (468 nucleotides) under uncultured bacterium. RNAcentral's name for it is "partial 16S ribosomal RNA". It matches the Rfam family "Bacterial small subunit ribosomal RNA", at positions 28 to 507 of the family's 1533-position model. The record is from RNAcentral.
GACGAACGCUGGCGGCGUGCUUAACACAUGCAAGUCGAACGGAAAGGCCCUGCUUUUGUGGGGUGCUCGAGUGGCGAACGGGUGAGUAACACGUGAGUAACCUGCCCUUGACUUUGGGAUAACUUCAGGAAACUGGGGCUAAUACCGGAUAGGAGCUCCUGCUGCAUGGUGGGGGUUGGAAAGUUUCGGCGGUUGGGGCUGGACUCGCGGCUUAUCAGCUUGUUUGUGGGGUAGUGGCUUACCAAGGCUUUGACGGGUAGCCGGCCUGAGAGGGUGACCGGCCACAUUGGGACUGCGAGACGGCCCAGACUCCUACGUGAGGCAGCAGUGGGGAAUAUUGCACAAUGGGCGGAAGCCUGAUGCAGCAACGCCGCGUGCGGGAUGCCGGCCUUCGGGUUGUAAACCGCUUUCGCCUGUGACGAAGCGUUAGUGACGGUAAUGGGUAAAGAAGCACCGGCUAACUACGUG